AGGAUAAACGCUGGCGGCGUGCCUAAUCAAUGCGAGUCGAACGGGCACCUUCGGGUGUCAGUGGCGUCCGGGUGAGUAACGCGUAGCUAACCUGCCCACAGGUGGGGAUACCCGCCAGAAAUGGCGGCUAAUACCGCAUAGCGUGACGAGGGGGUGACCUUCGGCACGAAAGCCGCAAGGUGUCUGUGGAGGGGCUGCGUCCGAUUAGCUGGUCGGUGGGUAACGGCCUACCGAGGCGACGAUCGGUAGC
RNAcentral lists this ribosomal RNA (250 nucleotides) under uncultured bacterium. RNAcentral's name for it is "partial small subunit ribosomal RNA". It matches the Rfam family "Bacterial small subunit ribosomal RNA", at positions 26 to 287 of the family's 1533-position model. The record is from RNAcentral.